Molecule: ribosomal RNA, 489 nt
Filed under: uncultured bacterium
Lineage: Bacteria
Description: partial 16S ribosomal RNA
Rfam family: Bacterial small subunit ribosomal RNA
Source: RNAcentral
UUGAACGCUGGCGGCAGGCUUAACACAUGCAAGUCGAACGGUAACAGGAGAAAGCUUGCUUUCUUGCUGACGAGUGGCGGACGGGUGAGUAAUGCUUGGGAAUCUGGCUUAUGGAGGGGGAUAACGACGGGAAACUGUCGCUAAUACCGCGUAGAGUCGAGAGACGAAAGUGCGGGACCGCAAGGCCGCAUGCCAUAGGAUGAGCCCAAGUGGGAUUAGGUAGUUGGUGGGGUAAUGGCCUACCAAGCCGACGAUCUCUAGCUGGUCUGAGAGGAUGACCAGCCACACCGGGACUGAGACACGGCCCGGACUCCUACGGGAGGCAGCAGUGGGGAAUAUUACGCAAUGGGGGCAACCCUGACGCAGCCAUGCCGCGUGAAUGAAGAAGGCCUUCGGGUUGUAAAGUUCUUUCGGUGACGAGGAAGGCGUGGUGUUUAAUAGGCAUCACGAUUGACGUUAAUCACAGAAGAAGCACCGGCUAACUCCGUG